Molecule: ribosomal RNA, 750 nt
Filed under: uncultured bacterium
Lineage: Bacteria
Description: bacterial SSU rRNA
Rfam family: Bacterial small subunit ribosomal RNA
Source: RNAcentral
AGGGGGUGCGACCCGGCCGGCCGCCGGGCGCGGUCACGGCGGGGCGAACUCCGGUCAACGGAAACGGGCAGGUCCGUGGGCGGAACGGGUGAGUCACGCGUGAGGAACCCGGCCUUCAGAGGGGGACAACAGUUCGGAAACGACUGCUAAUACCGCAUAACACAUAGGUGUCGCAUGGCAUUUAUGUCAAAGAUUUAUCGCUGAAAGAUGGCCUCGCGUCUGAUUAGCUAGUUGGUAGGGUAACGGCCUACCAAGGCGACGAUCAGUAGCCGGACUGAGAGGUUGGCCGGCCACAUUGGGACUGAGAUACGGCCCAGACUCCUACGGGAGGCAGCAGUGGGGAAUAUUGGGCAAUGGGCGCAAGCCUGACCCAGCAACGCCGCGUGAAGGAAGAAGGCUUUCGGGUUGUAAACUUCUUUUGACAGGGAAGAGUAGAAGACGGUACCUGUCGAAUAAGCCACGGCUAACUACGUGCCAGCAGCCGCGGUAAUACGUAGGUGGCAAGCGUUGUCCGGAUUUACUGGGUGUAAAGGGCGUGUAGCCGGGUUGACAAGUCAUAUGUGAAAUCCUGCGGCUUAACCGCAUAACUGCAUUUGAAACUGUUGAUCUUGAAUUACUGAAAGGCAGACGGAAUUCCUAGUGUACCGUUGAAUUGCGUAGAUAUUAGAAAGAUCACCAUUGGCGAAAGCUGUCUUUUGGACUGCUAUUGACGUUGAGCCCCCAAAGCCUUAGGAAACAACAGGAUUACAU